This 207-nucleotide small RNA is filed under the name Escherichia coli MS 187-1. Lineage: Bacteria; Pseudomonadati; Pseudomonadota; Gammaproteobacteria; Enterobacterales; Enterobacteriaceae. RNAcentral also lists the same sequence under 1 other name. The record is from RNAcentral.
AUAGAGCGAGGACGCUAACAGGAACAAUGACUCAGGAUGAGGGUCAGGAGCGCCAGGAGGCGAAGACAGAGGAUUGUCAGGAAGACAAACGUCCGGAGACGUAAUUAAACGGAAAUGGAAUCAACACGGAUUGUUCCGGCUAAAGGAAAAACAGGGUGUGUUGGCGGCCUGCAAGGAUUGUAAGACCCGUUAAGGGUUAUGAGUCAG